GACGAACGCUGGCGGCGUGCUUAACACAUGCAAGUCGAGCGGUAAGGCCCUUUCGGGGGUACACGAGCGGCGAACGGUGAGUAACACGUGGGUGACCUGCCCUCCAGCUCUGGGAUAAGCCUGGGAAACCGGGUCUAAUACUGGAUAUGACUCCAUGACGCAUGUUGUGGGGUGGAAAGCCUUGUGCGGCUGAGGAUGGGCCCGCGGCCUAUCAGCUUGUUGGUGGGGUGGAUGGCCUACCAAGGCGACGACGGGUAGCCGGCCUGAGAGGGCGACCGGCCACACUGGGACUGAGACACGGCCCAGACUCCUACGGGAGGCAGCAGUGGGGAAUCUUGCGCAAUGGGCGAAAGCCUGACGCAGCGACGCCGCGUGAGGGAUGACGGCCUGGU
This 392-nucleotide ribosomal RNA is filed under the name uncultured bacterium. RNAcentral's name for it is "bacterial SSU rRNA". It matches the Rfam family "Bacterial small subunit ribosomal RNA", at positions 28 to 420 of the family's 1533-position model. The record is from RNAcentral.